This 253-nucleotide ribosomal RNA is filed under the name uncultured bacterium. RNAcentral's name for it is "partial 16S ribosomal RNA". It matches the Rfam family "Bacterial small subunit ribosomal RNA", at positions 524 to 776 of the family's 1533-position model. The record is from RNAcentral.
CACGUAGGGCGCAAGCGUUGUCCGGAAUUAUUGGGCGUAAAGAGCUCGUAGGCGGUCUGUUGCGUCCGCUGUGAAAACUCGGGGCUUAACCCCGAGCCUGCAGUGGAUACGGGCAGACUAGAGGUAGGUAGGGGAGAAUGGAAUUCCCGGUGUAGCGGUGAAAUGCGCAGAUAUCGGGAGGAACACCGGUGGCGAAGGCGGUUCUCUGGGAAUGUCCUGACGCUGAGGAGCGAAAGUGUGGGGAGCGAACAGG